GUCAUUGUACCAGGAUUGAUGUGCUCGGUGCCCAGAAGGCAGUAAGCUCUGCUCCCUAGCAGCCUUGGAUACGGUUUGCCCUGGCUUGAGGAUGUGUUCUGUGUUGUUUGCUCAUGGCACUGUAGAGGACUGUUCCUCCAAGCACUUCGUUCUCUUCCACAACCCAUCUUGGAACCAGAGAACCAGCAGGACUAAGGAUGGAAUUGAAAAAAGUUGAUGAAUUUAUGUUUCAUCUUCCAUCUCUACUUCUUCUCCUGGAGGUGUGAACGAAUAAUGAAACUGCUAAGGAGAAAGGCAGCAUGAAAGAAGGAGGCUGCACAAUUGGACCUUGCAAAUUCAAGAUCUAGAUCAUUAGCCACAAAUCUGAGUUGGAGGUGCUGAAUAUUCAUUCACACGAUCGUGCUCAUAGCAGCAGCGAGAUUUUUUUUCUUGUCACGAUGAAUAGAGUGUCCUGACACCUUGAGACAUUAGGUGCUUGCAGAACGUAGUGUGAGGUGACAAAGGAAGGGACUUGCCCUUCACCUCCCACACCACUCCAAAAAGCCCUACCAUCGUGCAAAAUUACAUACACAAUCUCAUGCCACAAAAUAUAAACCAACCACUACAUUUAAGAAAUUCGAUUUCUCCCCCUUAACUGUCCCCUGUGCUUUCUGAGCACAUAGCAUAUUUUUCCCUAAUCUUAAAAUUUAGCUUUAAAGUUCACUGUUAAGGAACUAAGCAGUUUUUUAGUCAAGAGAUAUAUGCUGGUUUAAGAUACACAAAAACUUGAACAGUACUUGAGAUCUUUUGAGAGGAAUGAGCAAGAAAUCAGAUAUUUGCCUUUUCAUCUUCUGUAGACUCAUACAGCAUCUUCUACAUAGCUAGGGACUCAAGAAUGUUGAAUCUCCAAGCUAAAGCAUCUAUCAAAUGUUAUUUACAUAAAUAGAGCAUAUGGAGGGAAGCAAAAAAGUAGAGGGGUAUUCAGAGAGGUGAUAGCUCUGGAAAGGAAGAAUAAAAAAUUUCCAAGGAGGCAACAAUUCCUACUGUCUGCCAGUCUGUCCAGGAGAUUCACUAGACUGGCCACUCCAGUUCUCCCCAGUUCGGUUGUGCUCCAGGGAAGACAGUGUUAGAGGACAAGAAGCAGGCUGGAAAGAAAGUAGAAUAAUGCCCUUAGACUGCAUGGAAUCUCAAACAAGUUUUACUUUUGUGCUAUGUAUAUAAGGAGAUCUAUUUUCUUUCUCACUGAGGUCGUAUCAGUAGAUAAACUGCGAUCUCUGUGGAAAUCUUUUUCCUUAUUUUUAAAGGUUACUACUCAUUUUUUUUUUAUUCAAAGAAGCUGUUCUGAAUAAAGUUACUCAAUACAGUUGGAAAAACUGUCA
RNAcentral lists this small RNA (1358 nucleotides) under Pan troglodytes (chimpanzee). RNAcentral describes it as "processed transcript". Lineage: Eukaryota; Metazoa; Chordata; Mammalia; Primates; Hominidae. The record is from RNAcentral.